Molecule: ribosomal RNA, 422 nt
Filed under: uncultured bacterium
Lineage: Bacteria
Description: partial 16S ribosomal RNA
Rfam family: Bacterial small subunit ribosomal RNA
Source: RNAcentral
AAUUUUGGACAAUGGGGUCAACCCUGAUCCAGCCAUCCCGCGUGUGCUAUGAAUGCCUUCGGGUCGUAAAGCACUUUUGGCUGUGAAGAACAUGCUCUGGUGAUUACCCGGAGCUGCUGACGGUACCUGCAAAAGAAGCCCCAGCUAACCACGUGCCAGCAGCCGCGGUCAUACGUAGGGUGCAAGCGUUAAUCUGAAUUACUGGGCGUAAAGCGUGCGCAGGCGGUUUGGCAAGAAGGAUGUGAAGGCCCGGGGCUUAACCUUGGAACUGCAUUCUUAACUGCCAGGCUAGAGUAUGUCAGAGGGGGGUAGAAUUCCGCGUGUAGCAGUGAAAUGCGUAGAGAUGCGGAGGAAUACCGAUGGCGAAGGCAGCCCCCUGGGAUAAUACUGACGCUCAUGCACGAAAGCGUGGGGAGCAAACA